GAUAGGAUGGCUGAUAAAAGUUGUAAAUUGUAAAUUUAUUCAUGGUUAGUAAACCUUCUAUCA
RNAcentral lists this transfer RNA (63 nucleotides) under Lophops carinata. RNAcentral describes it as "tRNA-Tyr". Lineage: Eukaryota; Metazoa; Arthropoda; Insecta; Hemiptera; Lophopidae. The record is from RNAcentral.